UAGGGAAUCUUCCACAAUGGACGCAAGUCUGAUGGAGCAACGGCCGCGUGAGUGAAGAAGGUUUUCGGACCGUAAAGCUCUGUUGUUGGUGAAGAAGGAUAGAGGUAGUAACUGGCCUUUAUUUGACGGUAAUCAACCAGAAAGUCACGGCUAACUACGUGCCAGCAGCCGCGGUAAUCGUAGGUGGCAAGCGUUGUCCGGAUUUAUUGGGCGUAAAGCGAGCGCAGGCGGAAGAAUAAGUCUGAUGUGAAAGCCCUCGGCUUAACCGAGGAAUUGCAUCGGAAACUGU
Molecule: ribosomal RNA, 289 nt
Filed under: uncultured bacterium
Lineage: Bacteria
Description: partial 16S ribosomal RNA
Rfam family: Bacterial small subunit ribosomal RNA
Source: RNAcentral